AGAGUUUGAUCAUGGCUCAGGAUGAACGCUAGCGGCAGGCCUAAUACAUGCAAGUCAAACGGUGCAGCAAUGCACAGUGGCGCACGGGUGCGUAACGCGUAUGCAACCUACCUCCCACAGGGGGAUAACCAUCCGAAAGGGUGGCUAAUACCGCGUAACACCUUCCGGGGCAUCCCGGGGGGUUGAAAGUAACAGCGGUGGGAGAUGGGCAUGCGUCUGAUUAGCUAGUUGGCGGGGUAACGGCCCACCAAGGCUUCGAUCAGUAGGGGUUCUGAGAGGAAGGUCCCCCACACUGGUACUGAGAUACGGACCAGACUCCUACGGGAGGCAGCAGUAAGGAAUAUUGGUCAAUGGUCGGAAGACUGAACCAGCCAUGCCGCGUGCAGGAAGAAUGGCUUAUGCCUGUAAACUGCUUUUGACAGGGAAUAAAACACUCCUGCGGGAGGGACUGAAGGUACCUGUCGAAUAAGCAUCGGCUAACUACGUGCCAGCCGCCGCGGUAAUUC
RNAcentral lists this ribosomal RNA (506 nucleotides) under uncultured bacterium. RNAcentral's name for it is "bacterial SSU rRNA". It matches the Rfam family "Bacterial small subunit ribosomal RNA", at positions 8 to 526 of the family's 1533-position model. The record is from RNAcentral.